RNAcentral lists this small RNA (69 nucleotides) under Lacticaseibacillus paracasei. Its description in RNAcentral is "Lactobacillus paracasei mraW". Lineage: Bacteria; Bacillati; Bacillota; Bacilli; Lactobacillales; Lactobacillaceae. The record is from RNAcentral.
UUCAACGUAGAUCCCAAAAAUUCCACCUGCACUUUGCAGAUGGAAUUUUUGGGAUCUACGUUAUAAUUA